UACGGAGGGUGCAAACGUUGCUCGGAAUCAUUGGGCGUAAAGCGCACGUAGGCGGACCGCUAAGUCGGAUGUGAAAGCCCUCGGCUUAACCGAGGAAGUGCAUUCGAAACUGACAGUCUUGAGUAUGGAAGAGGGUCGCGGAAUUCCCGGUGUAGAGGUGAAAUUCGUAGAUAUCGGGAGGAACACCAGUGGCGAAGGCGGCCAUCUGGACCGGAACUGACGCUGAGGCGCGAAAGCUAGGGGAGCGAAUGGG
Molecule: ribosomal RNA, 253 nt
Filed under: uncultured bacterium
Lineage: Bacteria
Description: partial 16S ribosomal RNA
Rfam family: Bacterial small subunit ribosomal RNA
Source: RNAcentral